AUGGCUCAACCAUACAAUUUACUGUACACAGUGAGAUACAUCCCACUGAUUCUCACUGUCGCUACAGGCAGUUUUGCAGACAAAAUUGGGCCGACAGAUGAAGAUGCCAACAUUGUCAGGAAAGAAACAGACACUGUUACUCUGAACUGUUCAUUUGAGUCAAGCAGCGAACACAUUGAUCUUUACUGGUACAAACAAUAUCCGAACAGCGCACCACAGUUUUUACUGUAUAAAGGUGCGCGGUCAUACCAGUAUAGUACUGGGAGCACUCCUGAUGAUCGCCGAUUAGAGUCAAAAACAACCAGAGACUCCACUGAACUUACUAUCAGAGGCCUAAAGCUCUCAGAUUCUGCGCUCUAUCACUGUGCUCUUAGAGAUGCAGCACAGUAA
Non-coding RNA from Neoarius graeffei (lesser salmon catfish), 390 nucleotides. Lineage: Eukaryota; Metazoa; Chordata; Actinopteri; Siluriformes; Ariidae. The record is from the annotation of a RefSeq genome assembly.